UUCCAUUUGGGUGACGGUGUAGCUGGAC
This 28-nucleotide non-coding RNA is filed under the name Rattus norvegicus (Norway rat). The record is from RNAcentral. Lineage: Eukaryota; Metazoa; Chordata; Mammalia; Rodentia; Muridae.